Molecule: ribosomal RNA, 468 nt
Filed under: uncultured bacterium
Lineage: Bacteria
Description: partial 16S ribosomal RNA
Rfam family: Bacterial small subunit ribosomal RNA
Source: RNAcentral
GACGAACGCUGGCGGCGUGCUUAACACAUGCAAGUCGAACGGAGAUGCUCCAGCUUGCUGGAGUGGAUCAGUGGCGAACGGGUGAGUAACACGUGAGCAACCUGCCCCAGACUCUGGAAUAAGCGCUGGAAACGGCGUCUAAUACUGGAUACGAAACUGGCCCGCAUGGGCAUGGUUUGGAAAGUUUUUCGGUUUGGGAUGGGCUCGCGGCCUAUCAGCUUGUUGGUGAGGUAAUGGCUCACCAAGGCGACGACGGGUAGCCGGCCUGAGAGGGCGACCGGCCACACUGGGACUGAGACACGGCCCAGACUCCUACGGGAGGCAGCAGUGGGGAAUAUUGCACAAUGGGCGAAAGCCUGAUGCAGCGACGCCGCGUGAGGGAUGACGGCCUUCGGGUUGUAAACCUCUUUCAGCAGGGAAGAAGCGAAAGUGACGGUACCUGCAGAAGAAGCACCGGCUAACUACGUG